CAUUAGGUGACUGAGAUUGUAGGUGGUGAUUUUUUAAAUCAUAGAUAAUAUUUUAACGAAAUAUUUCUAAUGA
RNAcentral lists this transfer RNA (73 nucleotides) under Mellinus arvensis (field digger wasp). RNAcentral describes it as "tRNA-Lys". Lineage: Eukaryota; Metazoa; Arthropoda; Insecta; Hymenoptera; Crabronidae. The record is from RNAcentral.